RNAcentral lists this ribosomal RNA (489 nucleotides) under uncultured bacterium. RNAcentral's name for it is "partial 16S ribosomal RNA". It matches the Rfam family "Bacterial small subunit ribosomal RNA", at positions 28 to 507 of the family's 1533-position model. The record is from RNAcentral.
GACGAACGCUGGCGGCGUGCUUAACACAUGCAAGUCGAACGGUGAAGGGAUCAGCUUGCUGGUUCUGGAUGAGUGGCGAACGGGUGAGUAACACGUGAGUAACCUGCCCCCUUCUUCUGGAUAACCGCAUGAAAGUGUGGCUAAUACGGGAUAUUCUGCGCCUGCUGCAUGGUGGGUGUGGGAAAGAUCUUGUUUCGGUGGGGGAUGGGCUCGCGGCCUAUCAGCUUGUUGGUGGGGUGAUGGCCUACCAAGGCGGUGACGGGUAGCCGGCCUGAGAGGGUGGACGGUCACACUGGGACUGAGACACGGCCCAGACUCCUACGGGAGGCAGCAGUGGGGAAUAUUGCACAAUGGGCGCAAGCCUGAUGCAGCGACGCCGCGUGAGGGAUGGAGGCCUUCGGGUUGUGAACCUCUUUCGCCAGUGAAGCAGGCCUGUCCCUUGUGGGUGGGUUGACGGUAGCUGGAUAAGAAGCGCCGGCUAACUACGUG